CGAGCCAAUUUGGCUCACCCAUGCACCAAAUGCACACAUGCACAAAUGCACGAAGUAUCUUGGGGAACGUCCACUGUCAUGAUGCAAUAAUUUGUGCCAUCAAGCCACCGAACAAUACGAUCAUACGAUAUCUUCGGCGAGUGCCAGGCCUCGACCUCUCUUCUCUCUGUGGGAGAAAACCAGCUCGCAUGCGGGCUUGAUGGUUUCUAGGAAAUGGAACCUAUAAAUCUACGUUUCGAAUGAAAGAGGAGCGGCUGUGGCAAGGCGAGAAGGCGGCAAGGCGGCAACCUAAUUGACAAGACGAGCGAUGACAAUAAUGGCCGAUCCACCUGAGUGGUCUGUGACGUCGGAUGCCCAUGAAUAUGUAUGCCACGAACCGAUCCACGAUCCGAGAGAUGAUCUCAUUUUGGAAAUACAGCCUAGCCUGGAAAUAAAGCUAGGAAAUGCAACGCAACCAACCCCUAUCCUGAAACAGAAGAAAGCAGUGCAAUAUUUUUGCUCUGUUGCGACGUGCUCCCGCUACCCUCCCCAUUUCCCAGGGGGUGUGGGGCGCUCAUCAGCAAUACAUCCCCAUAGAGGCAUCCAUCGCCAUCGAAAGGCCAUUUCAAUUCAGUGCCCCUUACGUCAGCGUUACGAUGUAUCGCUGGCAACGCUUUGAGGUGUGCCGGCAGAUAGCCAGAGCCCGGAGCGGAGACGGAGACAGUGGCAGUGGUAGAGGCAGAAGCAGAGGCAGAGGCAGAGGCAGAGACAGAGGCACGAGACACAAUUUCAAGCACCUGCAAGAUUUUUCUCUCAAUUGAAUUUCGCUUUGUGCCGAACCGCCACCGCGGCCAAUUGACCGGAAAGAGGGGUGCCGGUGGGGCGGGGCGGAGGUGAUUUUGUGGUCGGACGAUUUGUGUAACGUGCAAUAAAUAAAUUACCCAUAGAAUUGAA
Molecule: small RNA, 933 nt
Filed under: Drosophila pseudoobscura pseudoobscura
Lineage: Eukaryota; Metazoa; Arthropoda; Insecta; Diptera; Drosophilidae
Description: GA31330
Source: RNAcentral